GCUGAGAUAUUUGAGUUGACACCAUCGUUGAGAGUUGUUGAAGUGAAGAAGAAAGGAGGAGAUAGCUUGGAGUAUGAGGAGUUUUACAACAGGGAAUUGAAGCCAGGAUUACAGAAUUUAGCACAUGAAGUUGGAUACCCUGUUAAUUCAUCGUAUUUGCCAUCAGAUACUGCCCCCGUGAGCCAAAACUAAUACAACCGGAGGACAUUGACUAGACGAUUAAUUUAAGGUACAGUGAAGGCAACCUUUGUAGGCAUUAAGCUGCGACAAGUUAAGCAACUGGAGGACGGAGGACGUGGUCCUGUGAAGUAUCAACAGCAGCAGGAGGCAUGAAUUGCCACAUCGCGACACCAGGGUAACUCAUGAUUGGCACCAGCUUGCUUCCUGGAAAUUGACCAUGAGCAGCAAAUGCAGAAGGUAUAGCAGGAGGCAAGUAACUAGGCUGUGCACUUGUAGUCUUUAGUUGUUGCUCUAGCUUCUCCUUUUCAGCUUUCAGCCUGUGUUUUUCAUCUCGAAGCUCGGUUUUCUCAACCUUUAACUCCUUGAUCUUUUCUUGCAGAUUCAAGUUUGAGUCUUUCAACUUUUGAGCUUCAUCACGUAACUGGGUCACCAAGCGAACAGCAUCAACAAGAAUAGCGGAUUUGUCUGUUUUAGGGGGUCUUCCAGGCUCAAGGAGUGCACCCAAUUCCAUGAACUUGUCAUUCAGCCUAUCUCUUCGCAGUUUCUCUCUGCAAGCUUUGGAACUUGUUGGAGCACAUGAUUCAACCCUUGCCCGUUUCUUAGAACCACUUUCCUUGGGGUAAUCUGAUUCACCAAUUGACCCAUCGAUUUCAGAACUAACAUUCCUUGAACCAUUCAAAUUCUGCACAGACCAGUUAAACCCAGAUGCAGAAGCUGAGAAAUUCGAAUCAGGGACGCAACUAUCUUCGAAUCCGUAAUCAUAAAGCCAAUUGGUACUCUCCGGUGAAACCAUCUCCGAUCAGUCGCCGGCCAGAAGAUGAAAAAAAUAAUUCUCCCGGUAAAUUCUCCAAUGAGGGUUUCCAAUUGCUGUUUGAAUCGGAAAAUGUAUUU
This 1071-nucleotide unclassified non-coding RNA is filed under the name Hevea brasiliensis (rubber tree). Lineage: Eukaryota; Viridiplantae; Streptophyta; Magnoliopsida; Malpighiales; Euphorbiaceae. The record is from RNAcentral.